Molecule: ribosomal RNA, 1373 nt
Filed under: uncultured bacterium
Lineage: Bacteria
Description: 16S ribosomal RNA
Rfam family: Bacterial small subunit ribosomal RNA
Source: RNAcentral
GAUGAACGCUAGCGACAGGCUUAACACAUGCAAGUAGAGGGGCAGCACAGGUAGCAAUACCGGGUGGCGACCGGCGCACGGGUGAGUAACGCGUAUGCAACUUGCCUAUCAGAGGGGGAUAACCCGGCGAAAGUCGGACUAAUACCGCAUGAAGCAGGGGCCCCGCAUGGGGAUAUUUGCUAAAGAUUCAUCGCUGAUAGAUAGGCAUGCGUUCCAUUAGGCAGUUGGCGGGGUAACGGCCCACCAAACCGACGAUGGAUAGGGGUUCUGAGAGGAAGGUCCCCCACAUUGGUACUGAGACACGGACCAAACUCCUACGGGAGGCAGCAGUGAGGAAUAUUGGUCAAUGGGCGUAAGCCUGAACCAGCCAAGUCGCGUGAGGGAUGAAGGUUCUAUGGAUCGUAAACCUCUUUUAUAAGGGAAUAAAGUGCGGGACGUGUCCCGUUUUGUAUGUACCUUAUGAAUAAGGAUCGGCUAACUCCGUGCCAGCAGCCGCGGUAAUACGGAGGAUCCGAGCGUUAUCCGGAUUUAUUGGGUUUAAAGGGUGCGUAGGCGGCCUUUUAAGUCAGCGGUGAAAGUCUGUGGCUCAACCAUAGAAUUGCCGUUGAAACUGGGGGGCUUGAGUAUGUUUGAGGCAGGCGGAAUGCGUGGUGUAGCGGUGAAAUGCAUAGAUAUCACGCAGAACCCCGAUUGCGAAGGCAGCCUGCCAAGCCAUUACUGACGCUGAUGCACGAAAGCGUGGGGAUCAAACAGGAUUAGAUACCCUGGUAGUCCACGCAGUAAACGAUGAUCACUAGCUGUUUGCGAUACACUGUAAGCGGCACAGCGAAAGCGUUAAGUGAUCCACCUGGGGAGUACGCCGGCAACGGUGAAACUCAAAGGAAUUGACGGGGGCCCGCACAAGCGGAGGAACAUGUGGUUUAAUUCGAUGAUACGCGAGGAACCUUACCCGGGUUUGAACGCAUUCGGACCGAGGUGGAAACACCUUUUCUAGCAAUAGCCGUUUGCGAGGUGGUGCAUGGUUGUCGUCAGCUCGUGCCGUGAGGUGUCGGCUUAAGUGCCAUAACGAGCGCAACCCUCGCCACUAGUUACUAACAGGUAAAGAUGAGGACUCUGGUGGGACUGCCAGCGUAAGCUGCGAGGAAGGCGGGGAGGACGUCAAAUCAGCACGGCCCUUACAUCCGGGGCGACACACGUGUUACAAUGGCGUGGACAAAGGGAUGUCACCUGGCGACAGGGAGCGAAUCCCCAAACCACGUCUCAGUUCGGAUCGGAGUGUGCAACCCGACUCCGUGAAGCUGGAUUCGCUAGUAAUCGCGCAUCAGCCAUGGCGCGGUGAAAAAGAUCCCGGGCCUUGCUCACCCCGCCCGUCA